AGUGAACGCUGGCGGUAGGCCUAACACAUGCAAGUCGAACGGCAGCACAGGAGAGCUUGCUCUCUGGGUGGCGAGUGGCGGACGGGUGAGGAAUACAUCGGAAUCUACUCUGUCGUGGGGGAUAACGUAGGGAAACUUACGCUAAUACCGCAUACGACCUACGGGUGAAAGCAGGGGAUCUCCGGACCUUGCGCGAUUGAAUGAGCCGAUGUCGGAUUAGCUAGUUGGCGGGGUAAAGGCCCACCAAGGCGACGAUCCGUAGCUGGUCUGAGAGGAUGAUCAGCCACACUGGAACUGAGACACGGUCCAGACUCCUACGGGAGGCAGCAGUGGGGAAUAUUGGACAAUGGGCGCAAGCCUGAUCCAGCCAUACCGCGUGGGUGAAGAAGGCCUUCGGGUUGUAAAGCCCUUUUGUUGGGAAAGAAAUCCAGCUGGCUAAUACCCGGUUGGGAUGACGGUACCCAAAGAAUAAGCACCGGCUAACUUCGUGCCAGCCGCCAGCGUAA
RNAcentral lists this ribosomal RNA (506 nucleotides) under uncultured bacterium. Its description in RNAcentral is "partial 16S ribosomal RNA". It matches the Rfam family "Bacterial small subunit ribosomal RNA", at positions 29 to 522 of the family's 1533-position model. The record is from RNAcentral.